GGGUUGUGAGGUUAAGCGACUAAGCGUACACGGUGGAUGCCCUGGCAGUCAGAGGCGAUGAAGGACGUGCUAAUCUGCGAUAAGCGUCGGUAAGGUGAUAUGAACCGUUAUAACCGGCGAUUUCCGAAUGGGGAAACCCAGUGUGUUUCGACACACUAUCAUUAACUGAAUCCAUAGGUUAAUGAGGCGAACCGGGGGAACUGAAACAUCUAAGUACCCCGAGGAAAAGAAAUCAACCGAGAUUCCCCCAGUAGCGGCGAGCGAACGGGGAGCAGCCCAGAGCCUGAAUCAGUGUGUGUGUUAGUGGAAGCGUCUGGAAAGGCGCGCGAUACAGGGUGACAGCCCCGUACACAAAAAUGCACAUGCUGUGAGCUCGAUGAGUAGGGCGGGACACGUGGUAUCCUGUCUGAAUAUGGGGGGACCAUCCUCCAAGGCUAAAUACUCCUGACUGACCGAUAGUGAACCAGUACCGUGAGGGAAAGGCGAAAAGAACCCCGGCGAGGGGAGUGAAAAAGAACCUGAAACCGUGUACGUACAAGCAGUGGGAGCACGCUUAGGCGUGUGACUGCGUACCUUUUGUAUAAUGGGUCAGCGACUUAUAUUCUGUAGCAAGGUUAACCGAAUAGGGGAGCCGAAGGGAAACCGAGUCUUAACUGGGCGUUAAGUUGCAGGGUAUAGACCCGAAACCCGGUGAUCUAGCCAUGGGCAGGUUGAAGGUUGGGUAACACUAACUGGAGGACCGAACCGACUAAUGUUGAAAAAUUAGCGGAUGACUUGUGGCUGGGGGUGAAAGGCCAAUCAAACCGGGAGAUAGCUGGUUCUCCCCGAAAGCUAUUUAGGUAGCGCCUCGUGAAUUCAUCUCCGGGGGUAGAGCACUGUUUCGGCAAGGGGGUCAUCCCGACUUACCAACCCGAUGCAAACUGCGAAUACCGGAGAAUGUUAUCACGGGAGACACACGGCGGGUGCUAACGUCCGUCGUGAAGAGGGAAACAACCCAGACCGCCAGCUAAGGUCCCAAAGUCAUGGUUAAGUGGGAAACGAUGUGGGAAGGCCCAGACAGCCAGGAUGUUGGCUUAGAAGCAGCCAUCAUUUAAAGAAAGCGUAAUAGCUCACUGGUCGAGUCGGCCUGCGCGGAAGAUGUAACGGGGCUAAACCAUGCACCGAAGCUGCGGCAGCGACACUAUGUGUUGUUGGGUAGGGGAGCGUUCUGUAAGCCUGUGAAGGUGUACUGUGAGGUAUGCUGGAGGUAUCAGAAGUGCGAAUGCUGACAUAAGUAACGAUAAAGCGGGUGAAAAGCCCGCUCGCCGGAAGACCAAGGGUUCCUGUCCAACGUUAAUCGGGGCAGGGUGAGUCGACCCCUAAGGCGAGGCCGAAAGGCGUAGUCGAUGGGAAACAGGUUAAUAUUCCUGUACUUGGUGUUACUGCGAAGGGGGGACGGAGAAGGCUAUGUUGGCCGGGCGACGGUUGUCCCGGUUUAAGCGUGUAGGCUGGUUUUCCAGGCAAAUCCGGAAAAUCAAGGCUGAGGCGUGAUGACGAGGCACUACGGUGCUGAAGCAACAAAUGCCCUGCUUCCAGGAAAAGCCUCUAAGCAUCAGGUAACAUCAAAUCGUACCCCAAACCGACACAGGUGGUCAGGUAGAGAAUACCAAGGCGCUUGAGAGAACUCGGGUGAAGGAACUAGGCAAAAUGGUGCCGUAACUUCGGGAGAAGGCACGCUGAUAUGUAGGUGAAGUCCCUCGCGGAUGGAGCUGAAAUCAGUCGAAGAUACCAGCUGGCUGCAACUGUUUAUUAAAAACACAGCACUGUGCAAACACGAAAGUGGACGUAUACGGUGUGACGCCUGCCCGGUGCCGGAAGGUUAAUUGAUGGGGUUAGCGCAAGCGAAGCUCUUGAUCGAAGCCCCGGUAAACGGCGGCCGUAACUAUAACGGUCCUAAGGUAGCGAAAUUCCUUGUCGGGUAAGUUCCGACCUGCACGAAUGGCGUAAUGAUGGCCAGGCUGUCUCCACCCGAGACUCAGUGAAAUUGAACUCGCUGUGAAGAUGCAGUGUACCCGCGGCAAGACGGAAAGACCCCGUGAACCUUUACUAUAGCUUGACACUGAACAUUGAGCCUUGAUGUGUAGGAUAGGUGGGAGGCUUUGAAGUGUGGACGCCAGUCUGCAUGGAGCCGACCUUGAAAUACCACCCUUUAAUGUUUGAUGUUCUAACGUUGACCCGUAAUCCGGGUUGCGGACAGUGUCUGGUGGGUAGUUUGACUGGGGCGGUCUCCUCCUAAAGAGUAACGGAGGAGCACGAAGGUUGGCUAAUCCUGGUCGGACAUCAGGAGGUUAGUGCAAUGGCAUAAGCCAGCUUGACUGCGAGCGUGACGGCGCGAGCAGGUGCGAAAGCAGGUCAUAGUGAUCCGGUGGUUCUGAAUGGAAGGGCCAUCGCUCAACGGAUAAAAGGUACUCCGGGGAUAACAGGCUGAUACCGCCCAAGAGUUCAUAUCGACGGCGGUGUUUGGCACCUCGAUGUCGGCUCAUCACAUCCUGGGGCUGAAGUAGGUCCCAAGGGUAUGGCUGUUCGCCAUUUAAAGUGGUACGCGAGCUGGGUUUAGAACGUCGUGAGACAGUUCGGUCCCUAUCUGCCGUGGGCGCUGGAGAACUGAGGGGGGCUGCUCCUAGUACGAGAGGACCGGAGUGGACGCAUCACUGGUGUUCGGGUUGUCAUGCCAAUGGCACUGCCCGGUAGCUAAAUGCGGAAGAGAUAAGUGCUGAAAGCAUCUAAGCACGAAACUUGCCCCGAGAUGAGUUCUCCCUGACUCCUUGAGAGUCCUGAAGGAACGUUGAAGACGACGACGUUGAUAGGCCGGGUGUGUAAGCGCAGCGAUGCGUUGAGCUAACCGGUACUAAUGAACCGUGAGGCUUAACCUUACAACGCCGAAGCUGUU
RNAcentral lists this ribosomal RNA (2929 nucleotides) under Escherichia coli. RNAcentral's name for it is "bacterial LSU rRNA". It matches the Rfam family "Bacterial large subunit ribosomal RNA". Lineage: Bacteria; Pseudomonadati; Pseudomonadota; Gammaproteobacteria; Enterobacterales; Enterobacteriaceae. The record is from RNAcentral.